UAGCGCUUAGCAUACCGGGAAGGGAACGGCGACCGGGAAAGAACAAGUGGAUACCAAGAGUGCUGUGCUCAUACUGGACUUUAGGAGCUCAUGUAAUAUUUUAUGCUGAGCUUCCUCCCCCCACAUUACCAUUAGCUUGAUUCUCAGCUGUGCACUGAACUGGAGGCUGCCCAAAGAUGGUGAAUUUCACUUCUAUUGUCCCUUAAAGCAGAUUCUGCUUCCUGAUCACCAUGUGAGCUGCUUUCCACCGC
Molecule: long non-coding RNA, 251 nt
Organism: Urocitellus parryii (Arctic ground squirrel)
Lineage: Eukaryota; Metazoa; Chordata; Mammalia; Rodentia; Sciuridae
Source: RefSeq, a predicted model, not a curated record